CCUACGGGCGGCAGCAGUGGGGAAUAUUGCACAAUGGGGGAAACCCUGAUGCAGCGACGCCGCGUGAGCGAUGAAGUUCUUCGGUAUGUAAAGCUCUAUCAGCAGGGAAGAAAAUGACGGUACCUGACUAAGAAGCCCCGGCUAACUACGUGCCAGCAGCCGCGGUAAUACGCAGGGGGCAAGCGUUAGCCGGAUUUACUGGGUGUAAAGGGAGCGUAGACGGCGGUGCAAGUCAGAUGUGAAAGCCCGGGGCGCAACCCCGGGACUGCAUUUGGAACUGUGCUGCUAGAGUGUCGGAGAGGAGAGCGGAAUUCCAAGUGUAGCGGUGAAAUGCGUAGAUAUUAGGAGGAACACCAGUGGCGAAGGCGGCCAGCUGGACGAUGACUGACGUUGAGGCUCGAAAGCGUGGGGAGCAAACAGGAUUAGAUACCCCGGUAGUC
This 440-nucleotide ribosomal RNA is filed under the name uncultured bacterium. RNAcentral's name for it is "partial 16S ribosomal RNA". It matches the Rfam family "Bacterial small subunit ribosomal RNA", at positions 338 to 795 of the family's 1533-position model. The record is from RNAcentral.